UCGAGAAUCUUUCACAAUGGGGGCAACCCUGAUGGAGCGACGCCGCGUGGAGGAUAAGGUCUUCGGAUUGUAAACUCCUGUCAUGUGUGAACAAGGCAGCCAGGUUAAUAACUUGAGCUGAUUGAUGGUAACACAAGAGGAAGAGACGGCUAACUCUGUGCCAGCAGCCGCGGUAAUACAGAGGUCUCAAGCGUUGUUCGGAAUCACUGGGCGUAAAGGGUGCGUAGGUGGCGUGGUAAGUCAGAUGUGAAAGCCCGGGGCUCAACCUCGGAAUUGCAUCCGAUACUGCUAUGCUUGAGUACUGGAGAGGUGACUAGAAUUCUAGGUGUAGCAGUGAAAUGCGUAGAUAUCUAGAGGAAUACCAAAGGCGUAGGCAGGUCACUGGACAGUUACUGACACUGAGGCACGAAGGCCAGGGGAGCGAACG
RNAcentral lists this ribosomal RNA (427 nucleotides) under uncultured Microbispora sp. RNAcentral's name for it is "bacterial SSU rRNA". It matches the Rfam family "Bacterial small subunit ribosomal RNA", at positions 355 to 774 of the family's 1533-position model. Lineage: Bacteria; Bacillati; Actinomycetota; Actinomycetes; Streptosporangiales; Streptosporangiaceae. The record is from RNAcentral.